GCACAAAACAUUCCUGUUAAACGUUUCUUUGUCUGUCCACACAAAUGAGGUAAAUUGUCAGGAUACUCCUUUUUAGUAGGACCUAUAACAACAGAGGCCUUACUUCCCAUAGAAAAACCAGAUUCAUCAGCAUUGUAAACUCUGUGUGGCUUGUCUAGGAGAUGAUGCCCAGAUAAAAAGUUAUAAUAACUUGCAAACCACUUAUCAAGCUGUUGUGAUGUCACCUUGGCUCUGGAAUUUUCUAGAGCAGAUUCGUGCCGCUUUUCAAUUAAGUGUGAAUUGCGUGCCAUGAAACUAUAAUACCAAGUGUAACUGGGUCUGCCAUUAAUGAAAUCAGUUUUUCUCUUAUCUUUUUUAACUACACCUUGAACGAAAUCUAAGAAUUCUGCUGGUCCAAGACCCAUUCCCCGUUUU
This 414-nucleotide small RNA is filed under the name Spisula solidissima (Atlantic surf clam). RNAcentral describes it as "cnRNA59/264". The record is from RNAcentral. Lineage: Eukaryota; Metazoa; Mollusca; Bivalvia; Venerida; Mactridae.